AAUGCCUUAAAGAAAGGACUGAUCUCCCCUGAAGAAGAGAGAAUUCUGCCUCUAGAUUGCUUACAAUUUGAACUGGAACAUCAGCUGUUCUCUAGGUCUUAAGUCUGCUGCUCUAACCUACAAAUUUUGGACAUGCCAAUCUCCACAGUCACAUGGGCCAAUUCCUUAGUUUCUCUGGAGAAUCCUGACUAAUGUAUGCAAUGUCUUUAUUUCAUCCUCAUUCUUAAAGGAUAUUUUCAUCAGCAACACCACACCCUCCUGAUCACCAUAGCUUUAUGAUCUGAGCUUUCAUCUGGUAUCAUUUCCUUUCCGUCUGAAGAACUUGCUUUCCUUGCAACAACAAGAAACAAAUUUAUUAGCUAACCUAACCACUAAUGACGCAAGAGACAAUUCUAAGGACUUUCAAAACAGCAAAGUAGGAGCAGCUGCUACCUCUAGGGAUGAGGGAGAAACUCAAAAAUGCAUACAAAAACCAUUGCAUGAAAAGUGACUGGAUUUGUACAUAGCGUCAGGAGAUGUGCGUAGUGUCAAAGUAUCUCAUCACACAUUACUUGAUAAUUACAAAUGAGAAAAAUGAACCUUCACAGUGGCAAGACUUGACUUCUACCUCUUUCAAAAAGAUGCAAUUGUCCAAUUAUUGGUGAAAUUGUCAUUUCAUGCUAUUGGCUAUUUGAAAUUCCUCCUCUAAUUUCAGAAUAAAUCACUGAAAUUGACAUCGGCCAGUCUGAAUUUCAAGAAAUUACCUGCUGAAGACAAGAGGGAUCUCUUCUUCAGAUUUGCAGUCUGGGGAAGACACAGCCUCUACUGUACUUUAGAACCUGAGAUAUGGUGGUGGAGGGAGCCCUGGGUCGAGUGGUAAGAUUCACCCUUAGGUUAGUAUUGACGUAAGGUGACGAGGAGCUGUAGACAAAAGAUUGUAACCAUAAGAACUUCAUAGUUUUUGUAUUUUCACCGAGCUUAUAUUUGGUGUGUUUUUUGUCUUUUCUUUAUGAUUAUCAAUAAAAUGCUUGAAAGGAGAUGAGGUUGGGGAAUAAUUUUUGGGAAUACCACAAAAGACACUUUUGUGAUGGAAAUCCUUAAAAAGACACAAUCCAUUACCUCAUUGGGUUCAAAAGGCAAUUGUGAACUACUGUGGAGUUUGGAAAGAAGCAAUGAGGUAAUCAAGGAUACUGUUGACAAUCUAGCUUAUCCUAUGGAUGGAAGGAAAUUGAAACUAAUGGAGGCGAGGCUGGUAAAACAAUAGGGUUUGAGACAAUUCUGUGGCAUUAGAAAUGAAAGAGGAAGGUGAAUCCGGGAGACGGAGCUUGCAGUGAGCUGAGAUCGCGCCACUGCACUCCAGCCUGGGCGACAGAGCGAGACUCCAUCUCAAAAAAAAAAAAAAAGAAAGAAAGAAAAGAAAGAGGAAGUAAUAAUCUGUGAAAUUUUUCCUUAGGAACUUAUUGGCAAUUUAAAAAUGAAUUUGUUAAGCCAUGCUGGUUCUGACCCAAAAGCCAUUCCCCAGCCUUCCUCACUCCCCUCUUUCACUACUGGCAGAGAUUGUCUCUCAUUUUACAAGCUGAAAAUGCCAGAUGCUUGCUUUUACAGUCUUCCUUACACCCAGAGCAUGUGCAUAUGUUUAAACGGUCAAGAAGAAGUCAUAACAUGGGUGUCUGGGAGAGCUUUUAUCCCACAAAAACAACACUUCACUCAAAAAACAAACCAAACAAAGAAAAAUUCUCCUUCCUGCCAUUGGAUGUGAGGCUCAGACCUCUAGUAACCAUUUUGUGACCACAAAGCAACAAGCCUGAGGAAAAGUCCUACACGCUGAGCAACAGGCAGAAAUAUUGCCAUCGCUGAGUUGCAGAAACAAAUCUAGAGAUGUUUUGCUUCUGUAAUUAUUUUUUAUGGGAGAUUACAAGUGGGUUUACUGUUCACUUUUCAAAUCUUAUUUCUCUAUGAUGUUUAGCUUGGGUAAAUUUUACCUUAAAUCCACUUUUUUAUGUAAGGUAACAUAUUUGUCGGUUUCAAGGAUUAAGAUGUGGGCAUACUUGGAGGCCAUUAUUUUGCCCACCACAGGUGAAAAAGGAAGUGUUAUUCUUAAAUCAUUUGGAAGGAUCUCUGUGUAAAUGCAAGAGCGAGACAAGAAAAUGCUGUCAUUCUUUUGAUAUGGACUCGAAUUUCCACUUCAUGGUUGUCUGCUUCCUUUUUAGAGUAUUAUUUAUCCUCCUAAUAAAAAGAAAGUGAAAUUUCCC
RNAcentral lists this long non-coding RNA (2231 nucleotides) under Homo sapiens (human). Its description in RNAcentral is "long independently transcribed non-coding RNA 470 (LINC00470)". The record is from RNAcentral. Lineage: Eukaryota; Metazoa; Chordata; Mammalia; Primates; Hominidae.